Molecule: ribosomal RNA, 345 nt
Filed under: uncultured bacterium
Lineage: Bacteria
Description: bacterial SSU rRNA
Rfam family: Bacterial small subunit ribosomal RNA
Source: RNAcentral
AGGGUUUGAUCCUGGCUCAGGAUGAACGCUGGCGGCGUGCCUAACACAUGCAAGUCGAACGGAGUUACUUUGGUGAAGUUUUCGGAUGGAUCUGAUUUAACUUAGUGGCGGACGGGUGAGUAAUGCGUGAGCAACCUGCCCUUCAGAGGGGGACAACAGUUGGAAACGACUGCUAAUACCGCAUAAGCCCACGAUCCGGCAUCGGAUUGAGGGAAAAGGAUUUAUUCGCUUCAGGAUGGACUCGCGUCCAAUUAGCUAGUUGGUGAGGUAACGGCCCACCAAGGCGACGAUUGGUAGCCGGACUGAGAGGUUGAACGGCCACAUUGGGACUGAGACACGGCCCAG